Molecule: ribosomal RNA, 1112 nt
Filed under: Salmonella enterica
Lineage: Bacteria; Pseudomonadati; Pseudomonadota; Gammaproteobacteria; Enterobacterales; Enterobacteriaceae
Description: partial 23S ribosomal RNA
Rfam family: Bacterial large subunit ribosomal RNA
Source: RNAcentral
GAAGCUGCGGCAGCGACACUGUGUGUUGUUGGGUAGGGGAGCGUUCUGUAAGCCUGUGAAGGUGUGUCGUGAGGCAUGCUGGAGGUAUCAGAAGUGCGAAUGCUGACAUAAGUAACGAUAAAGCGGGUGAAAAGCCCGCUCGCCGGAAGACCAAGGGUUCCUGUCCAACGUUAAUCGGGGCAGGGUGAGUCGACCCCUAAGGCGAGGCCGAAAGGCGUAGUCGAUGGGAAACGGGUUAAUAUUCCCGUACUUGGUGUUACUGCGAAGGGGGGACGGAGAAGGCUAUGUUGGCCGGGCGACGGUUGUCCCGGUUUAAGCGUGUAGGUGUGUGUUCCAGGUAAAUCCGGUUCACUUUAACACUGAGGCGUGACGACGAGGCACUACGGUGCUGAAGCAACAAAUGCCCUGCUUCCAGGAAAAGCCUCUAAGCAUCAGGUAACAUCAAAUCGUACCCCAAACCGACACAGGUGGUCAGGUAGAGAAUACCAAGGCGCUUGAGAGAACUCGGGUGAAGGAACUAGGCAAAAUGGUGCCGUAACUUCGGGAGAAGGCACGCUGACACGUAGGUGAAGUGAUUUACUCAUGGAGCUGAAGUCAGUCGAAGAUACCAGCUGGCUGCAACUGUUUAUUAAAAACACAGCACUGUGCAAACACGAAAGUGGACGUAUACGGUGUGACGCCUGCCCGGUGCCGGAAGGUUAAUUGAUGGGGUCAGCGCAAGCGAAGCUCCUGAUCGAAGCCCCGGUAAACGGCGGCCGUAACUAUAACGGUCCUAAGGUAGCGAAAUUCCUUGUCGGGUAAGUUCCGACCUGCACGAAUGGCGUAAUGAUGGCCAGGCUGUCUCCACCCGAGACUCAGUGAAAUUGAACUCGCUGUGAAGAUGCAGUGUACCCGCGGCAAGACGGAAAGACCCCGUGAACCUUUACUAUAGCUUGACACUGAACAUUGAGCCUUGAUGUGUAGGAUAGGUGGGAGGCUUUGAAGUGUGGACGCCAGUCUGCAUGGAGCCGACCUUGAAAUACCACCCUUUAAUGUUUGAUGUUCUAACGUGGACCCGUUACCCGGGUUGCGGACAGUGUCUGGUGGGUAGUUUGACUGGGGCGGUCUCCUCC